Pyrus x bretschneideri (Chinese white pear) is the source of this 903-nucleotide long non-coding RNA. RefSeq lists it as uncharacterized. The transcript has 2 exons. Lineage: Eukaryota; Viridiplantae; Streptophyta; Magnoliopsida; Rosales; Rosaceae. The record is from RefSeq and is a predicted model, not a curated record.
AAAAGCAAUAUGAUAGUGUUUGAUAAACUUUUAUGUAAAACAUCUGCAAUUCUGUGAAAUGACCAAAAAUGAUAUAAAAUGAGUAUAUUAUUAAAUGUAAAAUAAUAAACCAACCCUAUCUUUCUUUUAUCCAUCUUCAUUUAUUAAUAAUAUAUGUUUUCUAUUUAUUAAUAGUCUCUCUAGAAGUCUCCUAUCUUUCUUUUAUCCAUCUUCAUUUGUUAAUAAUAUAUGUAGAAGUCUCCCAACUCUCCCCCACUCCCCAAUUUUCUGUCUUUACUUUUUUUUUCUUUGCUUCUUCUUCAUCUUUUUUAUUUUCCUCCUUCUUCUUCAUCUAGCCGACAUAGCAACUACCAUAGGAGCAAGACCGCUUCGCUUUGCCACUCCAAUCCUCUGCGGACGAUGGAUAAUGAAGGCAGCGACUCAAGUCCAGCCUCGCUUUGCUUCUAGCUGUCUCCAAGUUGUAAACUUUGAAGAAGGAGAAAUUGAAGAUGGAUAACGAAGGUAGCGACUCAAUCCUCUUCUUCUAGCUGUUUCCAGUCUAGCCUCUCUUCCUCCGCAGGCAGUGACUCAAGAUUCUUGAAGUAGCAGAGGAAAAAUGAGAGUUUUAUGCUUCUUCUUUUUUUUUUUUUUUUUUUUUUUUUUGCGAUUAUCGGUUUUGGCUGUGGUAGUUUGGUGGGUUUUCAUGUUUCCAUUUCUUGUGCAGAUCGGCAAAGCCGUUUCUGGUGGGUUUCUAGGUUUUGUGGAGAUCGGCAAAAGAGCACCGUUUCUGGUUUGAGGGUGUUAUUGAACUUUAGAAAGUUUCAUUAAGGGAGCACUAUAGCUCCACAUGCUUUGAAAAAAAGUCAAUUUUCCAAAGCAACAUUUAGCUGCUUCAGCUUUUCUGAUGAUGUUAGCUUAUUCUCA